AUACGGAGGGUGCAAGCGUUAAUCGGAAUCACUGGGCGUAAAGCGCACGUAGGCUGUUUGGUAAGUCAGGGGUGAAAUCCCGCAGCUCAACUGCGGAAUUGCCCUUGAUACUGCUGGACUUGAGUUCGGGAGAGGGUGGCGGAAUUCCAGGUGUAGGAGCGAAAUCCGUAGAUAUCUGGAGGAACAUCAGUGGCGAAGGCGGCCACCUGGACCGAUACUGACGCUGAGGUGACGAAAGCGUGGGGAGC
RNAcentral lists this ribosomal RNA (248 nucleotides) under uncultured bacterium. RNAcentral describes it as "partial 16S ribosomal RNA". It matches the Rfam family "Bacterial small subunit ribosomal RNA", at positions 523 to 769 of the family's 1533-position model. The record is from RNAcentral.